This 86-nucleotide transfer RNA is filed under the name Felis catus (domestic cat). It matches the Rfam family "tRNA". From Rfam's summary of the family: Transfer RNA (tRNA) molecules are approximately 80 nucleotides in length. Their secondary structure includes four short double-helical elements and three loops (D, anti-codon, and T loops). Lineage: Eukaryota; Metazoa; Chordata; Mammalia; Carnivora; Felidae. The record is from Rfam by way of RNAcentral.
ACCUGAGUGGCUCAGUCGGUUGAGCAUCUGACUUUGGCUCAGAGCAUGAUAUCAUUGGUUCAUGGGUUUCAGCCCCAUGUCAGCUG